RNAcentral lists this ribosomal RNA (433 nucleotides) under uncultured bacterium. RNAcentral's name for it is "partial 16S ribosomal RNA". It matches the Rfam family "Bacterial small subunit ribosomal RNA", at positions 28 to 507 of the family's 1533-position model. The record is from RNAcentral.
GACGAACGCUGGCGGCAUGCCUAACACAUGCAAGUCGAACGAAACCUUCGUGUCUUGUGGCGCACGGGUGCGUAACGCGUGGGAACCUGCACGUAGGUUCGGUAUAACUCCCCGAAAGGUGUGCUAAUACCGGAUAAUGUCUUCGGACCAAGGAUUUAUUGCCUUUGGAUGGGCCCGCGUUGGAUUCGCUGGUUGGUAGGGUAAAAGCCUCCCAUGGCGAGGUUCCAUGGCUGGUCGGGGAGGAGGACAAACCACGCUGGGCCUGCGACACGGACCAGAAUCCUACGGGAGGGAGGGGAAUGGAAUAUUAGAGAAGGGGGGAAAGUGUGAUACAGCCACGCGGCGUGAGUGAGGAAGGGCGUAGUGUUGUAAAGCCGUUUUACCCGAGAUGAUAAUGACAGUACCGGGAGAAUAAGCACCGGCUAACUACGUG